UGGGCGUUAAGUUGCAGGGUAUAGACCCGAAACCCGGUGAUCUAGCCAUGGGCAGGUUGAAGGUUGGGUAACACUAACUGGAGGACCGAACCGACUAAUGUUGAAAAAUUAGCGGAUGACCUGUGGCUGGGGGUGAAAGGCCAAUCAAACCGGGAGAUAGCUGGUUCUCCCCGAAAGCUAUUUAGGUAGCGCCUCGUGAAUUCAUCUCCGGGGGUAGAGCACUGUUUCGGCUAGGGGGCCAUCCCGGCUUACCAACCCGAUGCAAACUGCGAAUACCGGAGAAUGUUAUCACGGGAGACACACGGCGGGUGCUAACGUCCGUCGUGAAGAGGGAAACAACCCAGACCGCCAGCUAAGGUCCCAAAGUCAUGGUUAAGUGGGAAACGAUGUGGGAAGGCCCAGACAGCCAGGAUGUUGGCUUAGAAGCAGCCAUCAUUUAAAGAAAGCGUAAUAGCUCACUGGUCGAGUCGGCCUGCGCGGAAGAUGUAACGGGGCUAAACCAUGCACCGAAGCUGCGGCAGCGACACUGUGUGUUGUUGGGUAGGGGAGCGUUCUGUAAGCCUGUGAAGGUGUGUCGUGAGGCAUGCUGGAGGUAUCAGAAGUGCGAAUGCUGACAUAAGUAACGAUAAAGCGGGUGAAAAGCCCGCUCGCCGGAAGACCAAGGGUUCCUGUCCAACGUUAAUCGGGGCAGGGUGAGUCGACCCCUAAGGCGAGGCCGAAAGGCGUAGUCGAUGGGAAACGGGUUAAUAUUCCCGUACUUGGUGUUACUGCGAAGGGGGGACGGAGAAGGCUAUGUUGGCCGGGCGACGGUUGUCCCGGUUUAAGCGUGUAGGUGUGUGUUCCAGGUAAAUCCGGUUCACUUUAACACUGAGGCGUGACGACGAGGCACUACGGUGCUGAAGCAACAAAUGCCCUGCUUCCAGGAAAAGCCUCUAAGCAUCAGGUAACAUCAAAUCGUACCCCAAACCGACACAGGUGGUCAGGUAGAGAAUACCAAGGCGCUUGAGAGAACUCGGGUGAAGGAACUAGGCAAAAUGGUGCCGUAACUUCGGGAGAAGGCACGCUGACACGUAGGUGAAGUGAUUUACUCAUGGAGCUGAAGUCAGUCGAAGAUACCAGCUGGCUGCAACUGUUUAUUAAAAACACAGCACUGUGCAAACACGAAAGUGGACGUAUACGGUGUGACGCCUGCCCGGUGCCGGAAGGUUAAUUGAUGGGGUCAGCGCAAGCGAAGCUCCUGAUCGAAGCCCCGGUAAACGGCGGCCGUAACUAUAACGGUCCUAAGGUAGCGAAAUUCCUUGUCGGGUAAGUUCCGACCUGCACGAAUGGCGUAAUGAUGGCCAGGCUGUCUCCACCCGAGACUCAGUGAAAUUGAACUCGCUGUGAAGAUGCAGUGUACCCGCGGCAAGACGGAAAGACCCCGUGAACCUUUACUAUAGCUUGACACUGAACAUUGAGCCUUGAUGUGUAGGAUAGGUGGGAGGCUUUGAAGUGUGGACGCCAGUCUGCAUGGAGCCGACCUUGAAAUACCACCCUUUAAUGUUUGAUGUUCUAACGUGGACCCGUUACCCGGGUUGCGGACAGUGUCUGGUGGGUAGUUUGACUGGGGCGGUCUCCUCCUAAAGAGUAACGGAGGAGCACG
Molecule: ribosomal RNA, 1642 nt
Filed under: Salmonella enterica subsp. enterica serovar Enteritidis
Lineage: Bacteria; Pseudomonadati; Pseudomonadota; Gammaproteobacteria; Enterobacterales; Enterobacteriaceae
Description: partial 23S ribosomal RNA
Rfam family: Bacterial large subunit ribosomal RNA
Source: RNAcentral